Molecule: ribosomal RNA, 485 nt
Filed under: uncultured bacterium
Lineage: Bacteria
Description: bacterial SSU rRNA
Rfam family: Bacterial small subunit ribosomal RNA
Source: RNAcentral
GAUGAACGCUGGCGGCGUGCUUAACACAUGCAAGUCGAACGUGAGAAUAGCAAUAUUUGAAAGUGGCAAACGGGUGAGUAACACGUGGGAACCUGCCUCGAAGUGGGGGAUAACGAUUGGAAACGGUCGCUAAUACCGCACGGUUCUGCUCUGAUGGGAAUGGAGCAGAUAAAGAUUUAUCGCUUUGAGAGGGGCCCGCGGCCGAUUAGCUAGUUGGUAAGGUAAAGGCUUACCAAGGCGAUUAUCGGUAGCUGGUCUGAGAGGACGAUCAGCCACACGGGAACUGAGACACGGUCCCGACUCCUACGGGGGGCAGCAGUGAGGAAUAUUGGGCAAUGGGCGAAAGCCUGACCCAGCAACGCCGCGUGGAGGAUGAAGGCUUUAGGGUUGUAAAGCCCUGUGGGGAGAGAAGAAUAAGUGCGGGCUAAUACCCCGCAUGAUGACGGUAUCUCCUUAGCAAGCACCGGCUAACUCUGUGCCAGCAG